GGCGUAGCGGUCGCGCAUCGAGGUACAGCGUGCUAUGGCCGCUAGCGGUCGCGCAUCGAGGUACAGCGUGCUAUGGCCGUUAGCGGUCGCGCAUCGAGGUACAGCGUGAUAUGGCCGUUAGCGGUCGCGCAUCGAGGUACAGCGUGNUAUGGCCGNUAGYGGUCGCSCAUCGAGGUACAGCGUGMUAUGGCCGNUAGCNGUCSCGCAUNCKAGGUACAGCGUGGUAUGGCCGUUUAAGGUCCAAACCCGCGGUACCCCGAGGUGGGGCCGCUUAAGGCCCAUACCCGGCGGACCCUGGAGGGUGGACGGUUAUAGGCGCCAUACACAGGUGUGUACACGAUAUGUGAGACG
Molecule: ribosomal RNA, 351 nt
Filed under: Omophoita sexnotata
Lineage: Eukaryota; Metazoa; Arthropoda; Insecta; Coleoptera; Chrysomelidae
Source: RNAcentral